Molecule: ribosomal RNA, 483 nt
Filed under: Neisseria flava
Lineage: Bacteria; Pseudomonadati; Pseudomonadota; Betaproteobacteria; Neisseriales; Neisseriaceae
Description: bacterial SSU rRNA
Rfam family: Bacterial small subunit ribosomal RNA
Source: RNAcentral
AUUGAACGCUGGCGGCAUGCUUUACACAUGCAAGUCGGACGGCAGCACAGAGAAGCUUGCUUCUUGGGUGGCGAGUGGCGAACGGGUGAGUAACAUAUCGGAACGUACCGAGCAGUGGGGGAUAACUAAUCGAAAGAUUAGCUAAUACCGCAUAUUUUCUGAGGAAGAAAGCAGGGGACCAUUUGGCCUUGCGCUGUUUGAGCGGCCGAUAUCUGAUUAGCUAGUUGGUGGGGUAAAGGCCUACCAAGGCGACGAUCAGUAGCGGGUCUGAGAGGAUGAUCCGCCACACUGGGACUGAGACACGGCCCAGACUCCUACGGGAGGCAGCAGUGGGGAAUUUUGGACAAUGGGCGCAAGCCUGAUCCAGCCAUGCCGCGUGUCUGAAGACCUUCGGUUGUAAAGGACUUUUGUCAGGGAAGAAAAGGGCGGGGUUAAUACCCCUGUCUGAUGACGGUACCUGAAGAAUAAGCACCGCUAACUAAC